AUAGCCUAACGGCUGAACCAGCAAUUUGCAAGAACGAAGAAAGUGGUUUAUCCGCAUAAAGUUCUAGAUAAAAUACUGAUAAUGACAAAUUUUUAUCUAACGGUCUUGACAAAAUCACGUGCCAGCAGUCGCGGUAAUACGGGAAAGACUAGUGUUAUUCAUCUUUAAUGGGUUUAAAGGGUACCUAGACAGUCAAUUUAACCUCCUCAUGAGGUAUGAAUUAGGCUAGAGUUUUAUGGAAGAGGAGUAUAUAGUAUUAACAGAGAAGAGAUAAAAUUUGUUGAUACUGUUAAGCACGGGUAACGGCGAAGGCGAUCCUUUAAGUAAAAACUGACGUUGAGGGACGAAGGCUUGGGUAACAAACAGGAUUAGAUACCCUAAUAGUCCAGGCAGACAAUUAUGAAUGCCAUAGGUUAGGUAUAACCUUGAUCUAUAAAUGAAAGUGUAAGCAUUCCACCUCAAGAGUAAUGUGGCAACGCAGGAACUGAAAUCAUUAGACCGUUUCUGAAACCAGUAGUGAAGUAUGUUAUUUAAUUUGAUAAUCCGCAAAAAACCUUACCACAGUUUGAACAAAGUAGUGACACCACUACAUACAGGUGCUGCAUGGCUGUCUUCAGUUAAUGUCGUGAGACUUAGGUUAGUUCCAUUAAAUUAACGAAAACCCUUGCUUUAUUUGUUAUUAUAAAGUAGUUCUCCAUUAUAAUGGAUAAGAUAACAGGGAUCAAGACAAGUAAUCA
This 737-nucleotide ribosomal RNA is filed under the name Melarthonis piceae. RNAcentral's name for it is "mitochondrial SSU rRNA". It matches the Rfam family "Bacterial small subunit ribosomal RNA", at positions 371 to 1195 of the family's 1533-position model. The record is from RNAcentral. Lineage: Eukaryota; Fungi; Ascomycota; Arthoniomycetes; Arthoniales; Chrysotrichaceae.